RNAcentral lists this ribosomal RNA (509 nucleotides) under uncultured bacterium. Its description in RNAcentral is "bacterial SSU rRNA". It matches the Rfam family "Bacterial small subunit ribosomal RNA", at positions 28 to 548 of the family's 1533-position model. The record is from RNAcentral.
AAUCAACGCUGGCGGCGUGCCUCAGACAUGCAAGUCGAACGAUUAAACUUUCCUUCGGGGAAGAUAUAAAGUGGCGCACGGGUGAGUAACACGUAAGUAAUCUACCUUCGAGUGGGGAAUAACAUCGGGAAACCGAUGCUAAUACCGCAUAACGCAGCGGCAUCUUAUGGUGACAGUUGUUAAAGGAGCAAUUCGCUUGAAGAGGAGCUUGCGGCAGAUUAGCUAGUUGGUAAGGUAAUGGCUUACCAAGGCUUCGAUCUGUAUCCGGUCUAAGAGGACGGACGGACACACUGACACUGAAUAACGGGUCAGACUCCUACGGGAGGCAGCAGUCGGGAAUUUUGGGCAAUGGGCGAAAGCCUGACCCAGCAACGCCGCGUGACGGAUGAAGUAUUUCGGUAUGUAAACUUCGAAAGAAUGGGAAGAACUCAAUGACGGUACCAUUUAUAAGCUCCGGCUAACUACGUGCCAGCAGCCGCGGUAAUACGUAGGGAGCAAGCGUUGUUCGG